RNAcentral lists this ribosomal RNA (477 nucleotides) under Candidatus Scalindua brodae. Its description in RNAcentral is "bacterial SSU rRNA". It matches the Rfam family "Bacterial small subunit ribosomal RNA", at positions 365 to 832 of the family's 1533-position model. The record is from RNAcentral. Lineage: Bacteria; Pseudomonadati; Planctomycetota; Candidatus Brocadiia; Candidatus Brocadiales; Candidatus Scalinduaceae.
UUCGCAAUGCCCGAAAGGGUGACGAAGCGACGCCGCGUGGGUGAGGAAGGCCUUCGGGUUGUAAAGCCCUGUCAGGAGUUAAGAAAUGUAAGUGCGCUAAUAUCGCAUUUAUUUGACGAAGGCUCCAAAGGAAGUCACGGCUAACUCUGUGCCAGCAGCCGCGGUAAUACAGAGGUGGCAAGCGUUGUUCGGAAUUAUUGGGCGUAAAGAGCACGUAGGUGGGUUUGUAAGUCAGAUGUGAAAGCCUCCUGUUCAACGGGAGAAUUGCAUCUGAAACUACUGAUCUUGAGUAUAGGAGGGGAGAAUGGAACUUCUGGUGGAGCGGUGAAAUGCGUAGAUAUCAGAAGGAACGCCGGCGGCGAAAGCGAUUCUCUGGCCUAUUACUGACACUCAGUGUGCGAAAGCUAGGGGAGCAAACGGGAUUAGAUACCCCGGUAGUCCUAGCCGUAAACGAUGGGCACUAAGUAGAGGGGUUUU